Molecule: long non-coding RNA, 759 nt
Filed under: Coturnix japonica (Japanese quail)
Lineage: Eukaryota; Metazoa; Chordata; Aves; Galliformes; Phasianidae
Description: lncRNA (ENSCJPG00005017042.1)
Source: RNAcentral
AGUUACAUAUUACUGUGUUCCCCUAAAAUGUUAUAUCACUGUUGCAAAUUUCUGUAUUUCAGAAUUAAUCUCUGUUAACCUGCAUGCCUGGGCACAAAGGAAUAUGUCAUGUCAUACAGGCUCACUGUUCAACCACACUUAUUGCCUUGUAAUUCUGAAUAUUUCUGUGAUUUGAGAAGACUCUGAUCAGUAAGAAGGAAUUUGGAAAUGUGUUGACACAUUUGUGUGAUGGCACUCACAAUGUUGAGAUGACACUAUGAUACAAACAUAAGUUCAAGCCAGACGGAAGCCCUGGAGGAUGCUAAUGCAGCACUGCAAUAUGCUAAGUUUCAGGAGAGCUGCUUAGUGAGUCCAUUGAAAAUCUCACUCCUGAUGAAGAGAGGAUUUGUGUUUACAGAACAGAAACAGGAUGGCAAUAUUCUGCUCUCGUGUAACAUGUUCUACUCAAGCAGAGUAACCUGUGAACACUGCUACCGUGGUAACCAUGAAACUUAGGAUUUUCAUCUAAAGAAUGCAGACCUCUAGCUGUAAACGGAACAUCUUACCUGCAGCUCCUGGAAGAAUCUGUGGAGGAUCUCAGGAGAUCCCAGUUAUCUGAGUCUUGGUGCACAGUGAGUUCCCAAGGCACAGGGAUGGCUUUUCAUCACUAAUACAGUCUGUAAGAUCAUUUUACUAAAUCUGAAAAGUUAUCAUUUCAACUAUGACGUAUUAUUUGAAUGUAUCUUAGUUUAAAUUUACAGAGCAGAAGUAAAAUGCAAU